GCUGGGUGUGGUGGUGUGCACCUGUAAUCCCAGCUACUCGGGAGGCUGAGGUGGGAGAAUCACUUGAACCCAGGAGGCAGCGGUUACAGUGAGCCGAGAUCAUGCCACUGCACUCCAGCCUGGGUGACAGAGCGAGACUCCAUCUCAA
RNAcentral lists this small RNA (148 nucleotides) under Pongo abelii (Sumatran orangutan). Its description in RNAcentral is "Metazoan signal recognition particle RNA (ENSPPYG00000031756.1)". The record is from Rfam by way of RNAcentral. Lineage: Eukaryota; Metazoa; Chordata; Mammalia; Primates; Hominidae.